AUGGGCGCAGCCUGAUGCAGCCAUGCCGCGUGUGUGAAGAAGGCCUUCGGGUUGUAAAGCACUUUCAGUCGUGAGGAAGGUAGUGUGUUUAAUAGAUGCAUUAUUUGACGUUAGCGACAGAAGAAGCACCGGCUAACUCCGUGCCAGCAGCCGCGGUAAUACGGAGGGUGCGAGCGUUAAUCGGAAUUACUGGGCGUAAAGCGCAUGCAGGUGGUGUGUUAAGUCAGAUGUGAAAGCCCGGGGCUCAACCUCGGAAUAGCAUUUGAAACUGGCAGACUAGAGUACUGUAGAGGGGGGUAGAAUUUCAGGUGUAGCGGUGAAAUGCGUAGAGAUCUGAAGGAAUACCGGUGGCGAAGGCGGCCCCCUGGACAGAUACUGACACUCAGAUGCGAAAGCGUGGGGAGCAAACAGGAUUAGAUACCCUGGUAGUCCACGCCGUAAACGAUGUCUACUUGGAGGUUGUGGCCUUGAGCCGUGGCUUUCGGAGCUAACGCGUUAAGUAGACCGCCUGGGGAGUACGGUCGCAAGAUUAAAACUCAAAUGAAUUGACGGGGGCCCGCACAAGCGGUGGAGCAUGUGGUUUAAUUCGAUGCAACGCGAAGAACCUUACCUACUCUUGACAUCCAGAGAACUUAGCAGAGAUGCUUUGGUGCCUUCGGGAACUCUGAGACAGGUGCUGCAUGGCUGUCGUCAGCUCGUGUUGUGAAAUGUUGGGUUAAGUCCCGCAACGAGCGCAACCCUUAUCCUUGUUUGCCAGCGAGUAAUGUCGGGAACUCCAGGGAGACUGCCGGUGAUAAACCGGAGGAAGGUGGGGACGACGUCAAGUCAUCAUGGCCCUUACGAGUAGGGCUACACACGUGCUACAAUGGCGCAUACAGAGGGCGGCCAACUUGCGAAAGUGAGCGAAUCCCAAAAAGUGCGUCGUAGUCCGGAUUGAGUCUGCAACUCGCUCCAUGAAGUCGAAUCGCUAGUAAUCGUGGAUCAGAAUGCCACGUGAAUACGUUCCCGGGCUUGUACACACCGCCCGUCACAACAUGUAUGGGGCUGCAAAAGAGUGGGUAGUUACUUCGGAGACGCUCACCACUUUGUGUUCAUGACUGGGGUGAAGUCUAACAAGGUACCGUAA
RNAcentral lists this ribosomal RNA (1126 nucleotides) under Vibrio proteolyticus. Its description in RNAcentral is "bacterial SSU rRNA". It matches the Rfam family "Bacterial small subunit ribosomal RNA", at positions 371 to 1504 of the family's 1533-position model. Lineage: Bacteria; Pseudomonadati; Pseudomonadota; Gammaproteobacteria; Vibrionales; Vibrionaceae. The record is from RNAcentral.